Molecule: long non-coding RNA, 3235 nt
Filed under: Marmota monax (woodchuck)
Lineage: Eukaryota; Metazoa; Chordata; Mammalia; Rodentia; Sciuridae
Source: RNAcentral
CAGGGCUGAGGAGGAAGGCGAGGCCACUACAGAAGAGGAGGACAAGGAGGAACCUGCGACUUCUGCACCCUCUGUCAAGGUGGGUCUCACGUGCACUCCUCUCUGGCCCUCCUAGGGUACCUGGGGAUGGGCAGCAUGGAGGCCAGCCCAGACUGCCCUGUGGCUGAGCCCCUCAGGUCAGGCCUCCACUCACUGGCCCCCUGGCUGCCUGGAGGAGGGGUGGGUGCAUCUCUGCUGUGACUGCUGCGUCUCUGUGUGCGCCUCACUACAAGUCCCCAGGGUCGGCCUUAGCUGAAGCCCCGACAUAUGAGUGUCUGCCGUGAUCAGCAGUGUCGUCCCCAUGUGCCCCUCUCAGUCCCUGGGCACCUCCGCUCUAGCACUGACCUUCAUCGAGGCUCACGGCGACCCUCUGGGCCAGUGUUUGCCCGUUAGACCUGCAGGCUAGCAGGACCCAGAAGCUGAGGGCAGGUGCACUGCAUACCCUCAGCCUUUUGGGCACAGGGGGCGCUGGCAGGAUGCUCUCCUCUCUGAGAGCUGCUGGCUCCCAGGAUCCUCCCUGCCUAGCCAUGACUUGGCCAGGAGGCCCUGCUGCUGGCAUGCAAUUUGUCCUGUGGGUCUGACAGUCACUCUUCUUCCUUGCAAGACAUCCCUGGCUCCCAGCAGAUUCUUGGGGAAUUGUCUUGUGCCUUCCUGAUCCUCAGUUUGUUCUCAAUGGCUCAUAACAGGUCCCUCCUGCUCAUGGGGACCCUUGAUGCCAAAGAAAGCCCCAGGCUGCCCAGAGGACCCACCUUCCCCACCCCCAUGAUGCCCCUACCCUGAGCAUGGGUUGAUGACAUGUGGCAGUGAGAAGCCUGGGGUCCUAUCAGGGAUGGCUAGGCCUGGGCUCAGCCCCACUCUGGAGCUUCCCCCCAGCCAGCCCAACCCUACCGUCUGUCAGGUCUGCAGCCUUGUGUCAUAGACAGAGGUAACCCUUGUCAGUGCCAGGAACAAGUUGGGAGGGACUGGCUCAGGCGACAGGAGCUUGGUGUGGUCUUCCUUCUGUCUUGUCUGCUCAUGGCCGGGCUGGUGAGGUGGUGGAGGUCCCUGGCGGUGGCUAACCUGCAUGCCUCGCUGGUCCUGUCCUAACAGGGCGUGUCGUUUGACCAGGCCAAUAACCUGCUGAUAGAGCCUGCUCGCAUUGAGGAGGAAGAGGUCUGUACUGCUCACUGCUGCUCUGUGCUCUGGGCCCGGGUCUGCUGCUGACCUUGCUUCCUGGGCUGCGGGUUCUUGCCUCUCCCCACCCCAUCACUUAAGCAUAGACCCUUUCCCAGAAGAGCUCCUGGCAGCUGCUACAGAAAUGGGGUCCUGGGGCUGCCCCGAUAGGGCCUGCUGGUCUUUUGGCAGAGGCAGCACAUCUCUGCCCCCACUGCGGCCUUUCUUGUAGAGGACAAACAGAGGGCCAACGCCAGGCCAUCCGUGUUCAUUCUCUGCAGCUGUGACUGCCCCACGCCUCAGAUACCUCCCAGCUCCUCUUCUGCCUCUGCUACCCUGGCAGGCGGAGGGACCUCAAAAAGAAACCAAAAGGAGCUGUCUGUGGCUGGCCUUGCUGUGCCGCAAGCACACAGACGGCUCAAGCCCUCCCAAACACAGUGUCUGCUCUGUUUCCAGCUGACCCUCACCAUCGUGCGCCAGACUGGGGGCCUUGGCAUCAGCAUCGCAGGGGGCAAGGGUUCCACCCCCUACAAGGGAGAUGACGAGGUGAGCAGCUGCCCCAGGCUAUAGCUGCCCUGGGCUCCCUCCUGCCCCAGACCUGCCUACACUCACUGGCCCAGAGGCUUCUGCUCCAAGGGGUGUUGGAUGCCUGCCGCCAGCCCCACAGUUCAGUCUUCUGUGUGCUUUGCCUGCACUUGGCCACCAGCCCCAGAGUGCACAGGCUGGGCCCAAGGCAGCAGGCAGACGGGGAUGUGCGCACGUGGGAGUUCACAGUCUAGAGCAGCUUGUUUCUCUUCUGCAAUCUGGUCUUCCCUCACACACUCUGGGCGUAGUGCCCGGGUCAAAGCCCUGACCCGCACUUUCUACUUCCUGGACGUAGGACCCACAGUGGUCUCUACUUAGGCCGUAUGUCUUCCUUCAUGUUCUUGGGGAUCUUUGCAGCAUCCCCAGAGAGCAGGCUGGGCUAGGGUCUGAAGGGACCAGGUCUCCCUCCAGUAAGUGCCUCCUGGCCUCCCAGAAAGGGCAAGACAGAAGGCUCUUAAGGAAUCCCCAACUCCUGUCCCCAGGGUGUCUUCAUUUCUCGGGUGUCUGAGGAGGGCCCUGCGGCCCGGGCUGGAGUCCGAGUGGGCGACAAACUCCUUGAGGUGAGUAGUGACUGCUGGCCAGUGACACCUGUGCUCUGGGGUGCCAUCUGGGCUGUUGGGGUAUUUAGUUGUGCCUAUCGGAUGGGGGCACUGUCUACCCUCUCCAGAAGCCCUGAGCCCCAGACCCCAGGACUCCCCCAAACCCUCUUUGGGCAGGAUGUGUAGUGCAGGCACCUAAAACCCCAGAAUCGGGAGGGCUGGGAAAGGGGUCAGACCCCAGCAGGUUGUGGGGCUCAGAUCCUUGUGAGAGACUUGGCACCCCCACCAGGGCACCUGGCUGUUGGAUAUAGGCUGUGCCCUUCCUGUGGGGACAAGGGUGAGGGCCCUGAGGGUAUCAGAAGAGGCUGGUGCUCCUCCUGCUCUCCUGCUCAGCUCUCUUCCCAGCCUCUCUUGGGGGCUCCUGUCCAAGGUGGCGUGUGAGUGUGGGGUCGGUGACCUGGUAAUCCUGGGCAUUCUCUGGGGCUGCUCAGACAGACCCAGAUGGUAGGUUUCCAGAAGCAAGGUGAGUGGUGUGGACUGUUCCAGGGGCAGAUGCCUGUGCUCUGGGAACCGCCAUAGGUGGGGACGAAGCCCAUCAGGAGCUCUGGGUACCCCCUCUCCCUGCCCUUCCCAUCCAUGGAGGGAAGCGUGGGCAGAGGCCACACGAGCCGUUGUCAUGGCGUCAGUGCUCAGGUGUCGGGGUGGCCGCAGCUGGGUGCUGACGUGUGCCGGGCCUCCCACACCUACAGGUGAACGGCGUGGCUUUGCAGGACGCUGAGCACCAUGAGGCUGUGGAGGCCCUCCGAGGGGCAGGCACAGCCGUGCAGAUGCGUGUGUGGCGGGAACGCAUGGUAGAACCUGAGAACGCAGUCACCAUCACACCCCUGCGGCCCGAGGACGACUACAGCCCCCGAGAGCGG